AGGACGAACGCUGGCGGCGUGCCUAAUACAUGCAAGUCGAACGCAAAACUUUCACCGAAUGCUUGCAUUCACGAAAGUUUUGAGUGGCGAACGGGUGAGUAACACGUGGGUAACCUGCCCAGAAGAGGGGGAUAACACUUGGAAACAGGUGCUAAUACCGCAUAAUAACAAAAACCGCAUGGUUUUUGUUUGAAAGAUGGUUUUGCUAUCACUUCUGGAUGGACCCGCGGCGUAUUAGCUAGUUGGUAAGGUAAAGGCUUACCAAGGCAAUGAUACGUAGCCGAACUGAGAGGUUGAUCGGCCACAUUGGGACUGAGACACGGCCCAAACUCCUACGGGAGGCAGCAGUAGGGAAUCUUCCACAAUGGACGAAAGUCUGAUGGAGCAACGCCGCGUGAGUGAAGAAGGUUUUCGGAUCGUAAAACUCUGUUGUUAGAGAAGAACGUGUGUGAGAGUAACUGUUCAUGCAGUGACGGUAUCUAACCAGAAAGCCACGGCUAACUACGUGCCAGCAGCCGCGGUAAUACGUAGGUGGCAAGCGUUGUCCGGAUUUAUUGGGCGUAAAGGGAACGCAGGCGGUUUUUUAAGUCUGAUGUGAAAGCCUUCGGCUUAACCGAAGUCAUGCAUUGGAAACUGAAAGAC
This 642-nucleotide ribosomal RNA is filed under the name Liquorilactobacillus mali. RNAcentral's name for it is "bacterial SSU rRNA". It matches the Rfam family "Bacterial small subunit ribosomal RNA", at positions 26 to 641 of the family's 1533-position model. Lineage: Bacteria; Bacillati; Bacillota; Bacilli; Lactobacillales; Lactobacillaceae. The record is from RNAcentral.